This 253-nucleotide ribosomal RNA is filed under the name uncultured bacterium. Its description in RNAcentral is "partial 16S ribosomal RNA". It matches the Rfam family "Bacterial small subunit ribosomal RNA", at positions 524 to 776 of the family's 1533-position model. The record is from RNAcentral.
UACAGAGGUGCCGAGCGUUAGGCGGAAUCACUGGGCUUAAAGCGUGUGUAGGCGGAUGCCUAAGUACCUUGUGAAAUCCCCCGGCUUAACCGGGGAACUGCUUGGUAUACUGGGUGUCUUGAGCCACUUAGGGGCGACCGGAACAAGCGGUGGAGCGGUGAAAUGCGUAGAUAUCGCUUGGAACGCCGAAGGUGAAAACAGGCUGCUGGGGUUGCGCCGACGCUGAGACACGAAAGCCAGGGGAGCAAACGGG